This 492-nucleotide ribosomal RNA is filed under the name uncultured bacterium. RNAcentral describes it as "partial 16S ribosomal RNA". It matches the Rfam family "Bacterial small subunit ribosomal RNA", at positions 29 to 507 of the family's 1533-position model. The record is from RNAcentral.
AGUGAACGCUGGCGGUAGGCCUAACACAUGCAAGUCGAACGGCAGCACAGUAAGAGCUUGCUCUUACGGGUGGCGAGUGGCGGACGGGUGAGGAAUACAUCGGAAUCUACUUUUUCGUGGGGGAUAACGUAGGGAAACUUACGCUAAUACCGCAUACGACCUACGGGUGAAAGCAGGGGAUCUUCGGACCUUGCGCGAUUGAAUGAGCCGAUGUCGGAUUAGCUAGUUGGCGGGGUAAAGGCCCACCAAGGCGACGAUCCGUAGCUGGUCUGAGAGGAUGAUCAGCCACACUGGAACUGAGACACGGUCCAGACUCCUACGGGAGGGAGCAGGGGGGAAUAUUGGACAAUGGGGGGAAGCCUGAUCCAGGCAAACCGGGUGGGGGAAGAAGGGCUUCGGGUUGGAAAGCCCUUUUGUUGGGAAAGAAAAACAGGAGGAUAAAACCCCGCUGUUCUGAAGGGAACCAAAGAAUAAGGACCGGCUAACUUCGUG